Molecule: ribosomal RNA, 279 nt
Filed under: Triticum aestivum (bread wheat)
Lineage: Eukaryota; Viridiplantae; Streptophyta; Magnoliopsida; Poales; Poaceae
Description: partial small subunit ribosomal RNA
Source: RNAcentral
AUGAGUGGUUCAAAUGAUAUACUGAAGGAUCCACUAGGUUUCUUGAUGUUGCAGAUCAUAAGGAUGUGGAUGAUGAUGAAGUGGAUGACGAGGAUAGUGGUGAUGAUGUUGUCCCCUUCCUCGUUUGUGCUGGAGGCUGAGAGGGUACAAUCGGCCCCGUCGUCCCGGCCCGCAGCACAACAGGCCAGCAGGACCGACUCCUCUGCUCCAGCCGAGCGCCUGCUCUGUCCUCUCUCCCGCACCAGCCGCCCCCCGCCGGACCCGGACGCCCCGCCGUAG